UACGGGGGAUGCAAGCGUUAUCCGGAAUCAUUGGGCGUAAAGCGCCUGUAGGUUGUUUAUCAAGUCUGUUGUUAAAGACUAGGGCUUAACCCUAGAAAAGCAAUGGAAACUGAUAGACUAGAGUAUGGCAGGGGUAGAGGGAAUUUCUAGUGUAGCGGUGAAAUGCGUAGAUAUUAGAAAGAACACCGGUGGCGAAAGCGCUCUACUGGACCAUUACUGACACUCAGAGGCGAAAGCUAGGGUAGCAAAAGGGAUUAGAUACCCCUGUAGUCCUAGCCGUAAACGAUGGAUACUAGAUGUUGUGCUUCAUGUACAGUAUCGUAGCUAACGCGUUAAGUAUCCCGCCUGGGGAGUACGCUCGCAAGGGUG
Molecule: ribosomal RNA, 369 nt
Filed under: uncultured phototrophic eukaryote
Lineage: Eukaryota
Description: SSU rRNA
Rfam family: Bacterial small subunit ribosomal RNA
Source: RNAcentral